GCCCUUCAUUCGGAUUUCAGGUUCCUCAAGCCUUUAGUGUUUCACCACCUUAGUUCACUCACUCACUCACUCACUCACGCGGCGCACUCGUUCAAAUCCCUUUCUAAUAAUCAAAGGAAAAAAAUAAAAAAAAUAUAGCUCUAGGAACUCUGCCCAGGAUUAUCUUGCCUGUAUAAGCUACCGUAUCAAUUCAUUUAUUAAAGAAACCCUAACUUUGAGUUCUGAUUUCUGGUUAGGGUUUCCAAUCCUCGUCGGCUUAGCGGUGUUCGUCUCAGAGCAUGCUACAUACCUCAUUUUCCUCUGCUGAAGCUGAUUCUUACUUAUUGAGAUCCCUGAAUUGGUGCACAGCCGGAGCUGACGACGUAGUUUUGGUUUGAUAUGGGUUUCGAUAUUGAGUGCAUAAUUGACAUUCAAAAGUAUCCUGGGGAGUACUUUUGUCCUGUUUGUCGUACACUUGUUUACCCAAAUGAAGCACUUCAGUCGCAGUGCACCCAUCUAUAUUGCAAGCCUUGUUUGGCGCAUGUUGCCAACAAUACCCGUGCCUGUCCCUAUGAUGGAUAUUUGGUUACGGAAUCAGAUUCUAAGCUACUCAUUGAAUCAGACAAAGCACUUGCUGAAAAUAUCGGCAAAGUAAAAGUACGCUGUCUGUAUCACAGAAGUGGAUGCACAUGGGAGGGUCCUCUGUCUGAGUGUACUCUGCAUUGUUCUGGCUGCAGCUUUGGGAGUUCCCCGGUCAUCUGCAACCGAUGUGGAGUUCAAAUUGUGCAUCGUCAAGUACAUGAUCAUGCCCAGAGUUGUCCUGGUGUGUAUCAAGUGCAACAGGCAGAUGCUGCUCAGGUUGUUGCCAGCUCGGGUUUGACUGCUGCCACUGGGGCUGCAAAUCAAAAUCAAGCUACCAGCCAGGCUGGAGCACCGACUUCUAAGGCCCAAAUCUCUCAUAUUGCUCCUCCACCUUUGGUUCCUGGACAGAACUCCAAUCAGCAGGCAAAUGCAAACUCUCAGGCUCCAGCUACUGUGCCAACUACAGAUCAAUGGUAUCAGCAACAAUAUCAGCAAUACUACCAGCAGUAUGCUGGUUAUGACCCCUAUCAGCAGGCUUAUACACAGUAUUAUCCGUACCAGCAGUUAGCUGUUCAACAGUAUCCCCCACAGGUACUUGGGCAGCAACCCCAGAUUCAGGUCUAUGCUCAGGCUGCUGCCCAGGUGCAGCCACCAUCCUCUUCCCAACCACAGGUUCAUCCUCAAACACAAUCUCAACCGCUGAAUCCUGGGCAACCUAUAGCUCAAGCACAACCUCCACCCCAACCCCAUCCUGUCCAAUCUCAAAUAAAGACUCAAGCACAGGUCCAACCGCAUGGGGCUACCUUAAUUCAUUCUCAACCUUUGGCCCCACAGGGUCAGAACCAGGUUCAAGCUAAUCCACAGCAGUUACCUCACCCUGCUGUGCAAUCUCAUGCUCAAAUUCCAGCACAGGCUAACUCUAUUCCUGGACUUCCAGCUCCUCAAACCCAGCAUUAUAACCAGCCCCAGGCCCAGCCCCAGCCCCAACCUCAUCCUGUGCAGCCUCAGCCACAACAUGUUCAGGCUCAAUAUCAGCAGCCACAUCUACCAAUGCACCAUCCACAGCCUUCUCUGGUUCAUCUCCAAUCUCAUAUGCUGACUCAGACCCAGCCGCAAGCUCAACCUCAACCUCAACCUCAAUCUCAACCACAUCCACAGCUCCAGCCCCAACCUCAACCACAAGUCCAGCCCCAACCACAGCUUCAACCACAUUUGCGGCCUUCACUUCCCAAUCAACCUACUGUUCCAAGUGCCCAGCCCCAGCCUUUGCCUUCCUCUGGGCAUGCUGUUUCUGGAUAUCAAUCCUAUUUGCAGCCUCAGCCCCCCCAGCAACAACCAAUUCCUGCUCAUCCUGCCAGUGUUUCUUUACCCUCUGGUCAAAUGCAAGGUCAGGUUUUUCCCCAACCACCAUUGAUGCGUCCUCCAUCACAGGUUCCAGUGCUUAAUCAGCAACAAGCUCAGUUUCAAUCUCAAGUUCAAGUUUCUAGCAUGACUACUACUCAGCAGCAGCAGUUCCAUCCUCAACCUCCACAGCUGAGCCACCCUAAUCAACAGCACCCUGUUAUUCACUCAAAUCAGCAUGGGUUGCCUCAGCAAUAUGCACAACAACAGCCUUUUUCUAACUCUGCUCAGGGUCAGUUGAGUCAUCACAAUCUUGUACAACAGCAGUCUCAGCUACACCCACAAGGCCCACCUCCUAUGAUGCAGCAAAGUUUUAAUGCCUAUCCCCAGUUGCAGCAAAAUGUUGCAAAUGCUUCUGUUGUACAAUCUCAGCAACCUCAUAACUAUGUCGGAAGACCUCUGAUGCCACAUCAAGGUGCACCAUCUCAGCCUCAGCCUUUUCAACAGUCUUCCAGUGGUUUUAUUUCUGGAGCUCAAAUCAGGCCUGGUCAAUUUGGCCCGUACCAACAAUCUCCAAAUCAGAAUUACGCAAAUAAGACCAAUAACCAGCUGCUGACAGCUUCUGAUCAGCAAAUUCUUCAGUCUGGGAUGACUUCCACAUCCGGAGUGCUGCUGAGGCAGGGUGACGGUGUUUCUGAUAAAACAAAUGUUGUGUUUGAAGCAGGGUUGCCUUCUCAGAAUGAUGCUGAGAAGGUUGCAAAUGCUUCUAGAGUUGAUUCUGUUGAAAUGAAGCCUCUGAAAUCUGAUGUAGGGAUAAGUUAUGAGCAAGAUGCAGCCAGAGAAAGCACUGAAAAUUCUAGAAAGAGUGAAUCUCUUGUCAGGGAUGCUGGCAGUGAAUUACAUGGAGGAAUAGAUGGUUCUGGUCAGCCUUUAACCAAGUUACCUUUGAAGGAAGAGCGUGUUGGGUACUCCUUAGAGCAUUCUUCUGAUGUAAAGUCAAAUGAAGUAGCAAAACAGCGAGAUACUAUUGGUGAUGUCCGGACUGAUGAUGUAGAACCUCACAAGGAUCAGAAGGCAAUAUUUGUAAAAGCUGGGGAUGAGAGCUUGCAGGCUAGUACUGGGCCUGUUAAUCAGCAAAAGUCUGCUGGACCUCCGAUAUUGCAAUCGGGACCUCCUGUUGGACCUCCAUCUCGUACACAACUUCCUGGAUAUCCAGCUAUGCCAGGGAGGCCUCAAGGAUCUGGACUUUUGCCUCAACCUAGGCAACCGUUGAACUCAAAUGAGCAAUUCCAGUCACCAUUGCUUAGACAACCUCAUGAUGUACUCCCUGGAGGGAUCCCUGCUUUAGGUUCUACAGCCACAUUUGGUUGGGCACCUGUUCCUUUUGGUCCUCCUCAGGGGCCUGCCUUGACUGCUUUACCUCCUGGUUCAGCUGAUCCUCGAGGUGGGAUAAUGGGAAGAGCCCCUCAGCAUGGUCCAGCAGAAACUGAAAUGUUACCGAAGCAGAGGCAGAGCCACUUUGAUGGAGAACACACAAAGAUACCUGGAUCUUUUGAGAGAGGUCCUCUAGGGCAUCCUUCUGGAGUUGAACCAAAUGCUUUGCGGAUGAAUGGAAAGCUGGGGCUUGAAAAAUCUUCACUUGGGUCACAGGAUGACAGGUUCAAGGCUUUGCCUGGGGAGCAUUUGAACCCUUUUACAAGGGAACCUACUUGGCCUCGGGAUCUAGGAUCAAGGCCUCUUGACAGGGGACCUCAUGGGUUGAACUAUGAUGCUCGGCCAACAUUGGAUUCUGCCGGAGGUGGGCCUGCGUCUAGAAUGCUGCCUCCAUUUCAUCCUUCUGGUGGUCCUGGAAUGGCUAGGCAUGAUGUGGAACAUUUGGUUCCGAGAAGUCCUGAUAGGGAAUACCUCGGCAUGAAAGCACACUCACAUGGUGAAGGAUCCAGACGGAAUCUGCCUUUAGAUCCUCAAGGUAAUCCAAUUCUUGAAACCAGAUUUCUCCCUCUGCCAGGCUAUCAGCAAAGAGGUGACCAUGAAGGCCCAGAGGCUUUGAGAUAUGGUGAGCAUAGGGUUCCCGGUCCUCAAGAUCAUAUCAGGAGAACUGAUCUGUUUGGUCAAGAUAUCCCACCUAGCCAUUUCCGGAGGGGUGAGCUUUUGGGUCCUGGGAAUUCAACAAGUAAUUUUGGUCCCUUUCCUGGUCACACUCAGAUGGGAGAGAUUUCUGGGCCCACAAAUCUCCCGCAUAACUUCCAGUAUGGUGAACCAUUUGCAGGAGAUAAACCAGGUGGUCAACAACUUGGUGAGCCUGGUUCUAGGGGCAGUUUUUCACUCCAGGGAUUUCCAAGUGAUGGGCCUUAUGCUGGCGACAUGAGUACCUUUGAUAACUCAAGAAAGAGGAAAAAUAUGAGCAUGGGAUGGUGUCGCAUAUGCAAAGUGGAUUGUGAAACUGUGGAAGGCUUAGACAGGCAUUCACAAUCAAGAGAGCACCAGAAGAUGUCUCUCGACAUGGUUAUGAGCAUCAAGCUGCAGAAUAAGAAGAAAUUUAAGGCUUCAAAUGAUCGUGCUGGACGUGAAUUGGGAAACAAGAAAAGAAACUUUGGUCAAGAGGGUCGUGGCAAGAAGCCUUGAAACCCAGCCUCCCAUUGGUAUGUGGGAUGUGGGAGUCUUGAGUUGUAGCUUUCUUGAACGAAAUUAGUGUGUAGCAAUCUAGAUCUUUUCAAUACAACAUAUCUUUUUUGGGAGAAGAAGAAGAGAAAAAAAGGAUGACAGUUCUGCAGAAUGGUUUACGGGCCUUUUUUCUGAUGUUGGGGCUUAAAGUGAAGCUACGGGAUGAGCUUUCUUUAAUGGAUCUUGGGCAUCGAUUACUGCUUCUCCAUUGGGGUUUCCAGGUUUGAGGUAUUUCUCAUGUUGUGGAGUUUUGUUACAUUGCUUGGUGCCUCCAAAAUUUUUCCCUAAAAGCUUAAUUGUGGCUUGGAUCUCCAAUUGUUUUGUCUGGCGACACACACUGUGAUUCCAUUAGCUUGUUUUUGACGGUAUUCUGCAACAAAAUUUGAAAGUAGAUUUUGUUUAAUAAAAUGUUUCAAACUUCCAUGGAUCUUCUUUGUAUGUUCUUGCAGCUGGGAAUAGGCAAUUCUUGAAAAUGUGGGUGAGCAGAUUUAGCAGAAUGUCUUUUUGCAAUUUUCAGAAAAUUUUGGGUCGCCUUUGGUAAUCAGUAAUUGUUCUUAGUGAAAUAAGCUGGUCCAAUAUGAGUUUCUUUUUGUAUAGAGGGUUUGGUUCUGAGGAUUGAAGUCUUUUUGCUACUUUUUGUUGACUAUUCAAGGAUGGACUUCACUUCAAGUGGGGAAAUGCUGUAAUAAAAUCAAGUAAGGCAAUCUUCUAUAGCUAGACAUUCUGUGGCUAAUUAACUUUGGAUAGUUUGCAUAAUUGAACAACUUGAAUUAGUGAGUUCACUAUUUUGCUGUGUCUACCCAGUUUUAUAGACUGCGCCUGAUUCUCUAAAAGGAAACAGUAAAACAAUCUUUGGGUAUAGUGUGUGUAAUUAAUUGGUUAGCUUAAAUUUGGCAGUGCUAUCAGCUUUUUGACAUUUUAGAUGCUGAAAUUGUAUUGGUGGAAGAUUUAAAUGAUUACCACUUUUUGGAAAUUACUACUACAUGUUACUUAUUGACCUUAGAAAUCCUCUAAAAAUCAAAAUGGGAUAUGCUUCCCUGACUUCAUUAAUUAUUAGGAAAGUUGUAACCUGCUGAAGAUUUUAUGAUCUUCUUUGAUUCUAGGGAGACUUAAGCUUUGCUUUCUUACGUGAAAAAGGAAGAACUAUCUGAGGUUUUUUUUUCCCCCAAUUUCACGUCUUUUAUUGUUUUGCUUCUACUAUUCAAAUAUUUAGAAAAGAGGGUCUCUGUCCUCCAAAAGUAUGCUUGUCUCUUUUCUCCAUACCAUUUAAACUGAAACAAAAUCACUCGGCAUCCUAUCCUUGGUAAUAUAAAAUAAUAUAUUAUAGAAGCUCUUCAUCUAGUUUAAUGCUAUUAUGACUUUUGCAACUGUGCUGAUGAGUGAAUCGUCCAAAGGAACUUACAGGACUGUUUUGAUAAUGAAUGUAUGAGAUGAACAUACAAUUCGAAUUUUUGUUUUAGCAUAUAUCAAACAGUGACAAAUUAGGUUGAGUUGAGUUGUGGUAUUGAAGGGUAUGGAAGUUUCACGUUUAGGUUGGUGCUGUCUUAAGUUUUUUCUAACUAGGAUCUUUUGGAACUUUUACAUAUUAAAGAUUUUUUAUGGUUGUGGAUGCUUGUACUGCUUGUAGCUAUUUUCAAAUCUGAUGCUAUAGUAGGAAAAAAAAGAAACACGAAAAACUGAUCAGUUCCUGGCUAUCAGUCAUAGCCACGGAAUACUGAAAGGUAAAAUUUAAAGAUUUAAGAAAGAAUAAUUGAUGCAGCUCGUAUUUUUGUUUGCUAGCUGUUUCAGUUACUGUCGGUAUUGAGACAUUCCUACAUUAAAAGUGAACGUGAUCUUGUGAAGUGGACCAAAUGGAAAGGUAAGAAUAUCUGCUAUAAGGAGCAUAACUAUUGGAAAUGGCCUUGUUAGAAAUGAGAGAUAUAGGUUAUGCUUUUGCCACGUAUUCAAAACUCAUACUUCAUUAGCUCGACUCUGCCAGUGGCUACUUGAAGUUUAAUGCUGCCUGUGAUCUGGUGAUACUUUGACCUUGUACCUGUUUUUGGUUUAGAGUUGUAUAGAUGGAUUUCGAGCCACAAAGAAUAUUUAAUAGAAUGGUCAAAAGAUUUGUUGUAAUCUUUAUUGAAAAUUUGCGGAAAGGCAGGUUUGCCUUUCCCAGUUUGUUUUUUCCUUCUCUACACUGUUGCAAGUGAACUCAGCUUCUCUCCUAUAGCUACUUGUAUGGCACAAUGAAGUGGAAUGACCUAGUAGAUUGUUAAUAA
Molecule: non-coding RNA, 6824 nt
Organism: Coffea arabica (coffee)
Lineage: Eukaryota; Viridiplantae; Streptophyta; Magnoliopsida; Gentianales; Rubiaceae
Source: RefSeq, a predicted model, not a curated record